GAAAUGCAUGGAUGUGGUCAGAUGGGAGCGCAUAUUCAUUCCCCAACUGGGCUCCCAACAAGCCACUGAGUGAAGACAACUACUCCUGUGGCACCACAUAUUUAGAGAAGUGGCACAACAGUGCAUGUAAUGGCUACAAUUACUUCCUCUGUUACACUGAUGUCAAGGACCAGAGACUGUUGAAGGUGGAGCUGAAGACAACAGAUGCCUCUGUGGACAUGGAGGUGCUGCAGAAUGACAUCUUGGAAAAGUUCAAUCAGAGGCUGAUGGAGAACGGUCUGAGUGAAUUCACGCUGAGAUGGGUGAAGCAGCUUGAUGGAAACAUCUUCCACAAAAAGGAACAAGAGGAGGAGAAAGAGGAGACUGAAGAGGAG
This is a long non-coding RNA of Astatotilapia calliptera (eastern happy), 374 nucleotides long. Lineage: Eukaryota; Metazoa; Chordata; Actinopteri; Cichliformes; Cichlidae. The record is from Ensembl.